Molecule: ribosomal RNA, 1333 nt
Filed under: uncultured bacterium
Lineage: Bacteria
Description: bacterial SSU rRNA
Rfam family: Bacterial small subunit ribosomal RNA
Source: RNAcentral
GGAUGAACGCUGACAGAAUGCUUAACACAUGCAAGUCUAUGAGAAGAUCUACUUCGGUAGAAGGUAUCAUGGCGGACGGGUGAGUAACGCGUAAAGAACUUGCCUCUUAGACUGGGAUAACAGAUGGAAACGUCUGAUAAGACUAGAUAUAAUAGCGACAUGGCAUCAUGUUGUUAUGAAAGGUAACACUAAGAGAGAGCUUUGCGUCCUAUUAGUUAGUUGGUGAGGUAAUGGCUCACCAAGACGAUGAUAGGUAGCCGGCCUGAGAGGGUGAACGGCCACAAGGGGACUGAGAUACGGCCCUUACUCUUACGGGAGGCAGCAGUGGGGAAUAUUGGACAAUGGAGGAAACUCUGAUCCAGCAAUUCUGUGUGCACGAUGAAGGUUUUCGGAUCGUAAAGUGCUUUCAGUAGGGAAGAAGAAAGUGACGGUACCUACAGAAGAAGCGACGGCUAAAUACGUGCCAGCAGCCGCGGUAAUACGUAUGUCGCAAGCGUUAUCCGGAUUCACUGGGUUUAAAGGGUGCGCAGGCGGACAUUUAAGUCAGGGGUGAAAUCCUACAGCUUAACUGUAGAACUGCCCUUGAUACUGAAUGCCUAGAGUAAAGCUGAAGUGGGCGGAAUGUGUUGUGUAGCGGUGAAAUGCUUAGAUAUAACACAGAACACCAAUCGCGAAGGCAGCUCACUAAACUUUAACUGACGCUCAUGCACGAAAGCGUGGGGAGCAAACAGGAUUAGAUACCCUGGUAGUCCACGCCCUAAACGAUGAUCACUCGCUGUUGGCGAUAUAUUGUCAGUGGCUAAGCAAAAGUGAUAAGUGAUCCACCUGGGGAGUACGACCGCAAGGUUGAAACUCAAAGGAAUUGACGGGGGCCCGCACAAGCGGAGGAGCAUGUGGUUUAAUUCGAUGAUACGCGAGGAACCUUACCAGGGCUCGAACGCAGGAGGAAUACUCCCGAAAGGAAGUAGCCAGAAAUGGCCGCCUGCGAGGUGCUGCAUGGUUGUCGUCAGCUCGUGCCGUGAGGUGUCAGGUUAAGUCCUAUAACGAGCGCAACCCCUAUUCAUAGUUGCCAGCAUAUUACGGUGGGGACUCUAUGAAAACUGCCUGCGCAAGCAGUGAGGAAGGUGGGGAUGACGUCAAAUCAGCACGGCCCUUAUGUCCUGGGCUACACACGUGCUACAAUGGCCGGUACAGAAGGCCGCAACCACGCAAGUGGAAGCUAAUCCCUAAAACCGGUCUCAGUUCGGAUUGGAGUCUGCAACCCGACUCCAUGAAGCCGGAUUCGCUAGUAAUCGCACAUCAGCCAUGGCGCGGUGAAUACGUUCCCGGGCCU